RNAcentral lists this ribosomal RNA (492 nucleotides) under Triticum aestivum (bread wheat). RNAcentral's name for it is "partial small subunit ribosomal RNA". Lineage: Eukaryota; Viridiplantae; Streptophyta; Magnoliopsida; Poales; Poaceae. The record is from RNAcentral.
AUGUGUGUCCCCGACCUCAGUAUUCUUAGGAGUGCCGUGUUAGGAGAUAAAUCUUAUAAUUUGGGAGCCAUUGUUGCACGUAGGUUGCAUCUUAAUAUAUUUAAUGGAGAUUUCUUUGGUGGAAUUUAUGCAACCCACAUAGCUAAUUUUCUUGGUAUAGCCAUAUGUGAAGAUGAUAUUGAGUUGCCUCCUACUUAUUUGGAUUAUGAGGCUAUGGUUCACCACCAGUUUGUCGAGAGGAAUGAAUCACCUCUCCAGUUUCGCUUAAUCUUUGACAGACGUCAUGCUGUCCGUAUUACUCUCCCUGCUCCUGCCUUCUUUGAUUAUCAGGCAAAAGGAAGAUAUGUUAUCACCAGAGAGGAGGCAGAUGUGUACAGGACGAGGGCAGAGGCCGCUCAUCACCACGCUGCAGCUCAGGAGGCGAUAGCCGCUGCAUCUCAGUACGACCCCAACUAUUAUUAUGGAUACCCGCCAGGCCAGCCGUGGCCAUAG